Molecule: long non-coding RNA, 1877 nt
Filed under: Equus asinus (donkey)
Lineage: Eukaryota; Metazoa; Chordata; Mammalia; Perissodactyla; Equidae
Description: lncRNA (ENSEASG00005023609.1)
Source: RNAcentral
GAUUUUUAUAGCUCAUUACAAUUUUUUAAUAAUUAUAUUUAUAUGUGUUUGGGUUUUUUCCCACUAAGCUAUAUGAUCUUAGAGGGCCUCCUGCAGCCUUGAUAGUAAAUAUUCAGAAAAGAGAGAAGGAUUAGGAGAGAGAGAAGAAAGUGGUGGAGGAGAAGACAGGAGAGAAGAGGAACUCACACAGAAUGUUUGGGAUAGCAGUAUGCACGUUACUGGAUAGGACUGGACAUCAGCUCAGGAGGCAGCCCUAUAUGCUACAAUCUACAGGAUACUGAAACUGUUCACAAGAGCUACUCUUGUUGAAGACUAUACCCAAACUCUUCACAGAACCUCAGGACUUAGAGGAACACAACACAAAAAAAUCACCAACACAAGAUACAUCAGAAAGGAUUUCGCAAGACAAAACACAACUGACUACAAUAACUAGAACAGAUGAAGUGCUCUGAGAUUAGAGAAAUGAAAGCCCACAGGAUGCUGGAGUCCUCUGCGAAGUCUACAAUGGACACACGGGAGUCCUACCAGUCCAGAACCACUUUAAAUGAAGUUCAAGAGUUGAGUUUUCUUGGACCAACAGAUGAUGGAAUGUUGGGCUGCGUUUUCAUGAGAGGACUUCUUUACUUCCAGCUUACUUUAUGGCUCGCUGAUUCUCAAAUGUUGGUGGGUACCAGAACACCUGGAGAACUCAGACAGCACACAGAGAGCAGGCUCGUUGAAAGGGUUAUACCAAGUUCCCAGAGUUUUAUUCCAUUGUAUGGAUAUACCACCAUUUGUUUAUCUAUUCACCUCUGUAUGGACAUUUGGAGAAUUUCCAGUUUUUGGCUAUUACAAAUAAAGUUGCCGUGAACAUUCACAUGCAAGUCUUUGUAUGGAAACCUACUUUCUUUUCUCUGGAGUAAAUACCUAGAAUUGGGACAACUGGAUCAUAUGACUGCCCUGAGCUAACAUCCACGCCCAUCUCCCUCUGCUUUGUAUGUGGGCCACCUACCACAGCAUGGCGUGCCAAGCAGGGCCGUGUCCGCACCUAGGAUCCAAACCAGCGAAUCCCAGGCCACUGAAGCGGAACAUGUGAACUUAACCACUGUGCCACUGGCCGGUCCCAAAAAUAUCUUAAUAGAAGGUGACCUGACAAGCUGCCAGCUUUCAGUGGUGCCAGGAGCAAAAGAAGAUUCUCCAUUAGCCAGACUCCAAUACACAUGGCUCCACAACUAGGUCCUUAUGACUCAGCAGAUACAAUGGCACCCAAGGUCUCUGCUAAUCAGGAUGCUAUAUGGACUGUAGCAAGCCCCACAAGACAGUCAAUGUUCCUUGCAAUUCUUAAGCAAAGCCAACCUCUUUAUGAGCUUCUAAUUCCAUGGUAGACAAUUUACUCAAUACACCAGUGGAACGCCAAUGAGCAGAUUAUCAGGAUAACAUGAAACCCAGCAGUUCUAGAACAAUAUGUUCUACUGAAGUGCUGAAAGCUACUCAUCCUAUGGUACAGACGGAAAACCAUAAAGAACCACAAACGUGAGUUGGUGAAAUGACGAAGAUUCGCGCUAUGUGAAGACACUGAUUUUUAUACUGGGGCAACAUCUGGAGCAGCUAGUGGUGAUCAGGUUGCUCUUAGUCAACCGUGUGACACUCCAAAGAGAUUCAUGCAUAGGACAGCUGAGCAAAAGUAAGGGGUAGUGGUUGAAAUUUUUUAUUCAAAUAUUUGCGUAUUAAAUUAAUGAAAUAUUUUGAAAUAACAAGAAUUUUUCAGUUCAUGAGACUGACUAAAUGGGAAGGCAUUAUUUUAGAAACAUUUUAAAAUACAGCCCCAUUAAGUCAUUCUUUCUUUUUAAAGAUUGGUACCUGAGCCAACAUCUGUUGCCAAUCUUCUCUUUUUUUUU